ACUGGGAACAGUGGCUCGUUCCUGUAAUCCAGCUUCUUUGGAGGUCGAGGCUGUUGGAUGGCUUGAGGUUGGGAGUUCUGUCCUCUGUGGGUCUACGCUGAUCCGGCGUCCGCGCUAAGCACUGUGUCGAUAUGGUAACCGUGGGGGAGCCCGAAUCUACCAGGUCCCGUAAUGAGGAGCAAACCGGCAGAUGGCGGAAGCGCAGCAGGCAGAAGAUCUCGCGAUAGCGGCCAGUGGGCAUCCUGUCUAAGACAAUCGGACUCAGCCUUUU
Molecule: signal recognition particle RNA, 271 nt
Filed under: Stegodyphus mimosarum
Lineage: Eukaryota; Metazoa; Arthropoda; Arachnida; Araneae; Eresidae
Description: metazoan signal recognition particle RNA
Rfam family: Metazoan signal recognition particle RNA
About the family: The signal recognition particle (SRP) is a universally conserved ribonucleoprotein. It is involved in the co-translational targeting of proteins to membranes.
Source: Rfam by way of RNAcentral